UGAACAAAUAGGAAACGAAACUGUGAGGAAACAAGCGCUUGGAAUCACAGAGAGGAGGAACACGUACAGAGAGAGAGAGAGAAAGAAAGAGAGGAUGGAGGGAGGAGAGAGUAAAAAAAUAAUAAUCAUCUAACUUCCGAGCGAAAAAACAACUGAAGUGAGCUGAGAACAAAGGAGGAAAGUGAUAAGAGUGCAAAGGAAGUGAGAUAUUUGAAAAGCAGCUGAAAAAGUGGAACUGCAGCGGAUUAAUCAGGAAUGUUCCUGCAAAAUCAAGACAGAUAUAAGUUCUUUGGAUCCAGUUUGCUUCUGUUGCAAACAGUAACUUCAGCCUUCCAGCUUGAGAUUUGUUUCUGAUACCAAUG
This is a long non-coding RNA of Sceloporus undulatus (fence lizard), 362 nucleotides long. RefSeq lists it as uncharacterized. The record is from RefSeq and is a predicted model, not a curated record. The transcript is spliced from 3 exons. NCBI's taxonomy places the organism in Eukaryota, Metazoa, Chordata, Lepidosauria, Squamata, Phrynosomatidae.